This 380-nucleotide ribosomal RNA is filed under the name uncultured eukaryote. Its description in RNAcentral is "partial 18S ribosomal RNA". It matches the Rfam family "Eukaryotic small subunit ribosomal RNA", at positions 592 to 976 of the family's 1831-position model. The record is from RNAcentral.
CAAUAGCAUAUAUUAAAGUUGUUGCAGUUAAAAAGCUCGUAGUUGGAUUUGUGGCGUACGGUGUGUUCCGGGCACUUGUUGUCUGAGUAACCUGCUGUUGCCAUCCUUGGGUGGAACCUGUGUGGCAUUAGGUUGUCGUGCAGGGGAUGCCCAUCAUUUACUGUGAAAAAAUUAGAGUGUUCAAAGCAGGCUUAUGCCGUUGAAUAUAUUAGCAUGGAAUAAUGAGAUAGGACUUUUUUGCUAUUUUGUUGGUUUGCGCAAGAAGGUAAUGAUUAAUAGGGACAGUUGGGGGUAUUCGUAUUCCAUUGUCAGAGGUGAAAUUCUUGGAUUUUUGGAAGACGAACUACUGCGAAAGCAUUUACCAAGGAUGUUUUCAUUAA